UACGUAGGGGGCGUGCGUUGUCCGGAAUUAUUGGGCGUAAAGAGCGUGUAGGCGGUUCGGUAAGUCUGCCGUGAAAACCUGGGGCUCAACCCCGGGCGUGCGGUGGAUACUGCCGGGCUAGAGGGUGGUAGAGGCGAGUGGAAUUCCCGGUGUAGCGGUGAAAUGCGCAGAUAUCAGGAGGAACACCGGUGGCGAAGGCGGGAUCCUGGGCCAGUACUGACGCUGAGGAGCGAAAGCGUGGGGAGCAAACAGG
This 253-nucleotide ribosomal RNA is filed under the name uncultured bacterium. Its description in RNAcentral is "partial 16S ribosomal RNA". It matches the Rfam family "Bacterial small subunit ribosomal RNA", at positions 524 to 776 of the family's 1533-position model. The record is from RNAcentral.